RNAcentral lists this ribosomal RNA (327 nucleotides) under uncultured eukaryote. RNAcentral describes it as "partial 18S ribosomal RNA". It matches the Rfam family "Eukaryotic small subunit ribosomal RNA", at positions 1470 to 1796 of the family's 1831-position model. The record is from RNAcentral.
CCCUUAGAUGUUCUGGGCCGCACACGCGCUACACUGAAGGAGGCAGCGUGUACUCCUGGAUCGAAAGAUUUGGGUAACCCGCGAAUCUCCUUCGUGCUAGGGAUUGAGGUUUGCAAUUAUCCUUCAUGAACGAGGAAUUCCCAGUAAGUGCAAGUCAUAAGCUUGCGCUGACUACGUCCCUGCCCUUUGUACACACCGCCCGUCGCUACUACCGAUUGAAUGAUUUAGUGAGGACUUCGGACUGGGACCGAUGCGGCUUUCGGGCUGCGUCGGUCUUCUGGAAAGAUGUCCAAACUGUAUCAUUUAGAGGAAGUAAAAGUCGUAACA